GACGAACGCUGGCGGCGUGCUUAACACAUGCAAGUCGAGCGGUAAGGCCCUUUCGGGGGUACACGAGCGGCGAACGGGUGAGUAACACGUGGGUGACCUGCCCUCAGCUCUGGGAUAAGCCCGGGAAACUGGGUCUAAUACUGGAUAUUACUCUGCGGUGCAUGCCGUGGGGUGGAAAGCCUUGUGCGGCUGAGGAUGGGCCCGCGGCCUAUCAGCUUGUUGGUGGGGUGAUGGCCUACCAAGGCGACGACGGGUAGCCGGCCUGAGAGGGCGACCGGCCACACUGGGACUGAGACACGGCCCAGACUCCUACGGGAGGCAGCAGUGGGGAAUCUUGCGCAAUGGGCGAAAGCCUGACGCAGCGACGCCGCGUGAGGGAUGACGGCCUGGUGU
Molecule: ribosomal RNA, 393 nt
Filed under: uncultured bacterium
Lineage: Bacteria
Description: bacterial SSU rRNA
Rfam family: Bacterial small subunit ribosomal RNA
Source: RNAcentral